This 416-nucleotide unclassified non-coding RNA is filed under the name uncultured fungus. RNAcentral's name for it is "partial contains small subunit ribosomal RNA, internal transcribed spacer 1, and 5.8S ribosomal RNA". The stretch from base 1 to 73 matches the Rfam family "Eukaryotic small subunit ribosomal RNA", at positions 1759 to 1831 of the family's 1831-position model. Lineage: Eukaryota; Fungi. The record is from RNAcentral.
UCAAACUUGGUCAUUUAGAGGAAGUAAAAGUCGUAACAAGGUUUCCGUAGGUGAACCUGCGGAAGGAUCAUUAAUGAGUUUGAAAUCGGAGGGCCUGUUGCUGGUGCGGAAACAAACGCAUAUGUGCACGGCUUCCGUGCUCGAUCCACUCAACCCCUGUGCACCCUAUCGAAGUCAGUAAUCUUUUCUGGGCUGUAUGCGGACGGGUGAUUACCAGUAAUUAGUAAGGCGAACACAUUCGUGUUAGUAGUCUGAAGGUGAACGUAAUUCGUUUCGCUUGGCCGGUCAAGGUGAAAGCUUUGACUUUAUUAUAAACAUUUUGUAUGUCUUGUGGAAUGUAUUAGCUCCUUGCGGGCAAAAUAAAUACAACUUUCAACAACGGAUCUCUUGGCUCUCGCAUCGAUGAAGAACGCAGC